UAAUACAUUAAAAAUCAAGAUAUAAGUUGGAAUUUUUUAUUUAAUCUACCGAUUAAUGAUCGACCGAUUAAUCCAGUCAAUAAACCGAUUCACCGAUUAAUGGCUACUCCCAAGACGACCGAGUAGGGUUACCGAUUUCUUAAACAUUGCCGACCGGUGCAGAAAUCCCUUAAAUUCCCCACAUGCCCCGUUUGGUAGCCAGGUACUUACAUGCUCAUCCCCAAAAUUACUCGCCGAAACCCUGACCUCCAAUACUUGUGGCAGAGGAGACACGAGGCGAAUGAGGUAGCGCCGUCAUGGUUCAGGGAGAAAAUUACUGGAAACAUUCAAUACUUGGAUUAUCUAACCCCUUAGACCAACUAAUCUAUUUUUUUCUUUGAAAUUCGGCCAUAAGGAUCUCGAUUUCUUAAAAAAGCAGAAGAGAGUUGCCCUGUAAAUUCCGUUAAUUUACGUUGCUUCUUUGAAAUAACGGGAGCUAGAUCUCCCUUGGCGUCUUUGGACGUCGCUCAUUUCUUUCUAUGGGAGGAGUCGCUCACCUCCUCCUCAUCCUCUUCUUCAUCUAGGUUGGAAGGAGCCAGCGUCUCUUCGGACUUAGUAUCCGGGGGGUCCUUUGACCAAAGACCCUUUCGGAUCUUCUUCUUCCCCUUCUUCUGCUCCCCUUCCCUCUCGGAGUCGUGUAAGGAUUCUCGGCUAACAUGGCCGCCGGCAGUGGGGUCAUGUCGUCUUCAGGCAAAGGUGUCGGGUAGUUAAUCUAUUCGGACUUUUUCAGCUAGGUCUGCAAGCAUGGGGGAAUGAAGAAGUGAGCACCUCGUCAAAAAAGGAAGGGAUGGAAUCUAAAAAAUAUGGUUAAAACCUCAUCGGCCCUCAAUGGUUGAGGAGGGAAAGGCCUUCAUCUUCCUCACCGGCGGGCCAAGUCGUUUGUGGCUUAAAAAGCGCUUUCCACAGCUUCUCACGAGUUGUCGGGGGAAUGAUCCCCAGGUACCCCAAAGACGCAGAGUCGAGCGGGGUGCGUGCCCUCCCCGACCGGCUGCUCCCAUUCCGCCCACGGUCGGCUCCUCUGACCAGCCGGCUACGCCAGCCUGACGACUAUCCGUAGUCAACUACGACGUCCUCUCGGGCGUCGUACUGCUUCAUCUAUAGUGUAACUUGUUCCGUGGGUGCUGGUUUAUAAAGUGCCCCAGGGGACAAGCAUAACUUAGCUAUGAAGCUACAUAUAGCUUGGCAUGUAAGCUAUCCAUAGUAGCUUACAUGCCA
Molecule: long non-coding RNA, 1254 nt
Filed under: Hordeum vulgare
Lineage: Eukaryota; Viridiplantae; Streptophyta; Magnoliopsida; Poales; Poaceae
Description: long non-coding RNA (HVUL_LNC019858)
Source: RNAcentral